AGAGGGUGCGAGCGUUAAUCGGAAUUACUGGGCGUAAAGCGUACGUAGUCGGCUUGCCAAGUCGGGUGUGAAAUCCCCGGGCUCAACCUGGGAACUGCAUCCGAAACUGGCUUGCUAGAGUAUGGGAGAGGGAGGCGGAAUUUCUGGUGUAGCAGUGAAAUGCGUAGAUAUCAGAAGGAACAUCAGUGGCGAAGGCGGCCUCCUGGACCAAUACUGACGAUCAGGUACGAAAGCGUGGGGAGCAAACAGGAUUAGAUACCCUGGUAGUCCACGCCCUAAACGAUGACAACUGGAUGUCGGGAGGGUUUGCCUUCCGGUGUCGUAGCUAACGCGUUAAGUUGUCCGCCUGGGAAGUACGGCCGCAAGGUUG
This 370-nucleotide ribosomal RNA is filed under the name uncultured bacterium. RNAcentral's name for it is "bacterial SSU rRNA". It matches the Rfam family "Bacterial small subunit ribosomal RNA", at positions 527 to 896 of the family's 1533-position model. The record is from RNAcentral.